ACUCCUACGGGAGGCAGCAGUGGGGAAUAUUGCACAAUGGGCGCAAGCCUGAUGCAGCAACGCCGUGUGAGUGAAGAAGGUUUUCGGAUCGUAAAACUCUGUCCUAAGGGAAGAAACAAAUGACGGUACCUUAGGAGGAAGCCCCGGCUAACUACGUGCCAGCAGCCGCGGUAAUACGUAGGGGCAAGCGUUAUCCGGAAUCACUGGGGCGUAAAGGGUGCGUAGGCGGCUUGACAAGCCAGGGGUGAAAGGCAUUGGCUCAACCAAUGUAAGCCUUUGGAACUGUUAAGCUUGAGUGCAGGAGAGGUAAGUGGAAUUCCUAGUGUAGAGGUGAAAUUCGUAGAUAUUAGGAGGAACACCAGUGGCGAAGGCGACUUACUGGACUGUAACUGACGCUGAUGCACGAAAGCGUGGGUAGCGAACAGGAUUAGAUACCCUGGUAGGAUAGCG
Molecule: ribosomal RNA, 450 nt
Filed under: uncultured bacterium
Lineage: Bacteria
Description: bacterial SSU rRNA
Rfam family: Bacterial small subunit ribosomal RNA
Source: RNAcentral